UAGGGAAUCUUCCGCAAUGGACGCAAGUCUGACGGAGCAACGCCGCGUGAGUGAAGAAGGAUUUCGGUUCGUAAAACUCUGUUGUUAGAGAAGAACAGCGCAUAGAGUAACUGUUAUGCGUGUGACGGUAUCUAACCAGAAAGCCACGGCUAACUACGUGCCAGCAGCCGCGGUAAUACGUAGGUGGCAAGCGUUGUCCGGAUUUAUUGGGCGUAAAGCGAGCGCAGGCGGUUAGAUAAGUCUGAAGUUAAAGGCAGUGGCUCAACCAUUGUAGGCUUUGGAAACUGUUUAACUUGAGUGCAGAAGGGGAGAGUGGAAUUCCAUGGGUAGCGGUGAAAUGCGUAGAUAUAUGGAGGAACACCGGUGGCGAAAGCGGCUCUCUGGUCUGUAACUGACGCUGAGGCUCGAAAGCGUGGGGAGCGAACAGG
RNAcentral lists this ribosomal RNA (428 nucleotides) under Bacteroidota bacterium. RNAcentral's name for it is "Bacteroidetes bacterium partial 16S ribosomal RNA". It matches the Rfam family "Bacterial small subunit ribosomal RNA", at positions 355 to 776 of the family's 1533-position model. Lineage: Bacteria; Pseudomonadati; Bacteroidota. The record is from RNAcentral.